Molecule: ribosomal RNA, 497 nt
Filed under: uncultured bacterium
Lineage: Bacteria
Description: partial 16S ribosomal RNA
Rfam family: Bacterial small subunit ribosomal RNA
Source: RNAcentral
GAUGAACGCUGGCGGCGUGCCUAAUACAUGCAAGUCGAGCGAACAGAUACGGAUCUUGCUCCUUUGACGUUAGCGGCGGACGGGUGAGUAACACGUGUGUAACCUACCUAUAAGACUGGUAUAACUUCGGGAAACCGGAGCUAAUACCGGAUAAUAUUUCGAACCGCAUUGUUCGAUAGUAAAAUAUGGUUUUUCUAUCACUUAUAGAUGGACCCGCGCCGUAUUAGCUAGUUGGUAAGGUAACGGCUUACCAAGGCGGCGAUACGUAGCCGACCUGAGGGAGGGAUCGGCCACACGAGAACGGAGACACGGUCCAGACUACUGCGGGAGGGAGCAGUAGGGAAUCUUCCGCAAUGGGCGAAAACCUGACGGAGCGACGCGGAGUGAGUGAUGACGGUCUUCGGAUCGUAAAACUCUGUUAUUAGGGAAGAACAUACGUGUAAGUAACUGUGCACGUCUUGACGGUACCUAAUAAGAAAGCCACGGCUAACUACGUG